Molecule: non-coding RNA, 7695 nt
Organism: Sus scrofa (pig)
Lineage: Eukaryota; Metazoa; Chordata; Mammalia; Artiodactyla; Suidae
Source: RefSeq, a predicted model, not a curated record
GGUGAGGGCGGGGAAGUUGGGAGGAACAGAGACCAGGAGUUCAGAGCAGGCACGUGCGGCCCAGAGCCUCAGCUUCUCAGCACGCGGGGCCGGCUAAUGAAGGCCCGCAGCGCGCCAGGCCGCGCGUGCAGCCGUCUAGGCGCCUGGGCCCGGGCUCCGCGAGCGAGCAGACUGCGGCGCAGCCUUCCUAACAGGCCGCGCGCGGCGGCGGCGGCGCAGCCCUAGUGCUCGGCUAGGCUGCCACCCCCGAGCACCUAGGGGUUCUCCCGGCGCACGUCCGCGCUCUCGGGGCUCCGGUCCCCUGCGCUCACCGGAGCACGUCGGUUCCCCGCCCCCCUACCCGGGGUAACACGUUAAUAACAAUCAUCCCCGCACAAAGCGUUUUCUCUCUAGACGUCAAUCACAGCGGAGCGGGGAUCACCGGGCUAAAGGGGGUGCAUGGGGGUGGGGUGGGAGAGAAGAAAAGAGGAUUUGAGGAGGGAGUAAGGGUAGAAACUUGAUUUCUUUAAUAGCCUCAAUUAAAAGAGCAAGACACAUAUAUUUUUAAAAGGGGGCUUUUUGAAUUGGAUAGCCCGAAAGGUGAAGAGGUUUAAUAGGAUACUUGAAGGCUAAUUACAGCGGGAUUUAAGAAGCCUGGUGUUUGUUCCGAUGACAAUUUGAAUGAAAAUGCUUCAGAUUAAACCGAGCCAGCAGCUCUUUCGUAAACUUACAGCAAUUAGAGCUGCGAGUGAUUUAUACUCGUUUCUUUAAGGUGUAAAUUGCCACUUAUUGCUCAGUAAGUCAACAUUUCAGCUACUAAAGGAUUAUUUUUAACCAGCGCAAAAAGCGGGUCGAAUAAUGGAAAAUAUCCAGCUGAAUUUAAUUUGUGUCAUUAAAAAACCUCACCCAACCUCGGUCAAAAUGUUUUAAAGCAACAACGCUCAUUACUCAAGUGUCUCCAAGCCUUUGCUGAAGUUAUGUUCUUAAACGAAAAUGCAGCCGCUCUGGGCUUUUUCUGCCUUCGUUUACGGAAAACUCUAGCUUGGUCGGGGGGCGGUUCCCGGGACUGAGCGGCCCACACUUCUGCGUUUCGGUCUCUUUCCUUCCUUCUUUCCCUCCAUCGUGCAGCGCCAGGCGAGACGGUGUCCGAACCCCAGCAUCCCCCGGUCUGUCUGCCCGGACCCUCGGGUAGGGUUCCAUAGCGGGCCCCAGAGCCGCCGUAAGGGGGUCGCGUCCUCGCUGACACAAAGAGGUUAGGCAGAAGAGCCCCUCGUUCGCCGUGUCUUCACCGCCAGGGUCAGAACACAGACCAAGUCAGCCGUGCCCAGUGCGGGUCCCACAGAGGCACUCAGACAGGAAGCAGCUGGUUUUUCAGACCGAACGCGAGUCACCCACGGGUCCUGCCUCCAGAGUGAGAGGCUUCUGGGCUUGGAGAAGAAGAGUGGUCGUCAGACACGCGAAGACCUGAAAGACUGGUCUGGCGCCCGCUUUACUCCUGGCGCCCGGCAGGGACGCGGACCUUUCCUGUGGGUAAUAGCGUGCACCCAGCCUUGCACUGUAGGCCUCCCGGUGGUAACCGCGCCAGGGGUUCGCCUGAGAACUGUUGGAAAUUGGAGGUGGGGAAGAUCUUAGCGCGGGCCAAGGCCGAGGCUGCAGGGGCUUCCUGGCGAGGCUAGAGUGCUCCAGCGCGGGACCGUCGGGAACGCACCACUGGCAGACCCAGCCUCCGCUCUCACGCCUGCCCGGCGUCUAUUCCGCUAACUGCUGUGGGAUGCGCCCGCUGGGACCAGCUGUCACCCGCGGUUCAAGAAACCCAACAACCAACCGAAGACCGAAUUCUGCGCGGGAGAGGGCUAAUUUGACAACUAAUCAUCAGUGAAUCAAAGACUGGAUUGAACAAGUGACCGCUGCUCUCCCGGUCCCUCCUGUGGUGCAAAGGACAGCUCUCACUUCUGAAUUUUCCUUUGGACUAAAACUCGAGUGGCUGAGUAGAGUCCGCAGAAGCCUCGAUACCGAUCUCUGGCUGUGCACAGGUCAUCUCGCCGCAACUUCUAUCACCAUUCCAGAGACAUCCUUAGAAAUAGUUUGCCCUGAAACAAACAGGUGUAUAAAGUCGACCCCAAUAGAUCUUGGGCAGCAAGCACCCUGGAGGCAGCAACCAUGUACUGUUCGACUCUCUGGAAACUAGUUCAGUAUCUGGCACAGGGCAAUAAAGGAUGGUUUUUUUGAAUGAAAAUAUGUGCUGGCAGGUGCAGAAGGUUUCACACUUUUCUCUGUAUUCUUAGUUCUAGCUUCCAGUUUCUUUACAUUGGCACCUUCUUGCCCAGGACCCAAAUCUUUCAAUCCCUUAGAAGAGCAAGGCAAGGAAGGGUACAGAUAGUGUAACAAUUUAAAUUGAGGGAAUUGCCAGCCUCCAGUUUUCUUUUAGGGCAAGGGCUUUAUAAUGGUUCAUUUCUGCCCCUCUGGACUGUCCUUCAAAUCUCAGUGUUUGCAAUUAAAUUGGAAAGCUAUUCUGGGUGCCUCAGAGACCAUCCGGUCUGAGCCUCAGUUAUAGAGGAGGGGGCUAACAGGAUUAAGAAUUGGAACAUAUUGGACCCCAGAAGACUGGGUAAGCCUUCAUGGACUCACUCCAACUGCACACACGGAAAUGCUGUGUGAAUGGGCCACACGUAAGGGAUGUAAGUUGACAUAUUUUGGCUUGCCCCAGGGCAAAAGAAGGUCUGGGGUGGACAGUUAGGAUAGGAGUUGAGGUCACUUAUAGCCAGAUGCUGAUGCUGUCAGGCCUUCCUGGCUUGGGAAGGAGAUGUACCCCGUUUACAAUCUGCAAAACUGCAGAAGAUUGUGGAGGAGACUUGCUUGCAGUGGAUAGUCUUAAUCUAGACAGAUCCCCUGCUCUGUGUCAGGCCAAAUUGUGCAUUCUGCUGCCUGGGGUGGGUCUCCCAGACUCAACCCUUCUCAAGUAAGGAUAGCUCCUGAAAAGGAAGAGGAACCUUGGGAUUCUGAGACUAGAGUCCGGAAGUCCUGGAAAAGGGCUGGAAGAGGUCUCUCCACCUGAAAUGAUUGUACCAGCCUCAUGGUGUUGAAUUUACUCUGAGGGAAAGCACUAGGGCUUUAUCUUAAAGACUGAGGUCUCUUAAAGACACACCAAGGUUUGCAAACUCAGCUACAGCAGGCAAAGAAACAUGGCAAAAAGAAUCCUUUUAAAAUACAAUAAUUCCUCUCAUUUCCUUCAAAUAGUCACCGCUUCCUCUGGAGGGACUCAGAGCAGCAUUUUUUAAAAGGGUGCCUACACGUUGCACUACCUUUCAGAAAUAAUGCCUCAACUGGCUCAGCGCUUAGUUUGCACUUAUUAUUGCUGUUGGGUUUGAAAGUCACUGAAAAUAAUAGGCAGCAGUUUCUUGCAGAGCUUUUUAAUAAAUACAAUGCCUUUUCAAGGUUUCUUGUUCCUCCCUUUUUCAAAAUACUUUUGCCCUGCUUCAAUAAUUAAUUUUAGGCAUAUAAUGGGAAAAACCUCUCACAUUAUAAAACAUCUAGAUCACUCUGUAAAUUGUCUUUUAAAGCUCAGGAUGGAAAAAAAUUAGGCAGUUAGUAAACUAAGCCAUAAUUCAUGAUUUAUACACUGUCCCCCACACCCCACCCAGGCUGAGAUAUCUUUUUUUUCCUAAAAAGGCUUAGUAUUUUGAGAGGUGAAUGUGUGCAUGUAUGUAGAUACUCUUAUAAUAAGGAAUAUCAUUUAUUGUUUGGCAUCACCUGGAUUUCACAUAUAUCGUCACAUAUACUCCUCACAAUCGCAGAGGAAGUAGAUAUUAUUAUGUCCAGUUCACAGGUGGGGAACCCAAAGCUCAGAGAGGAGACUCAAGUUCUCAAGGUCACUGAUUCCAAGGUCUUAACCAUUGUGCCACAUAAAAAAAUAUAGGUUGAACAUCGAAGGGUAUGAAGCAAAGUCCCCCUCCAUGGUUGGACAUGUGGUCUCUCUCUUCCAUUUGGAGAGGCCUGAAUUCUCUUAGGAGUUGGGGAAGAAGAGGACAGCAGGCAAGGCUUGAGGGAGCUAUCUGCGCCGCCGCUGUCUGUUGUGUAGGGCUCAGAAGCAGGUUUGAAGCCCGAAGGGGAAGAGAGAGGAAGGGCUAGAGAAAUGGAAAGCUGGCGGGGGUGGAGGCAGAUCGCGUGCUGGGGGAACACUUUCUCAUGCCUGGUCGUAAAUAUUUGCAUUUCCUUGGAAACCCCCAAGACCGAGGCGCUGGCCUGCAAGCCCCCCCCCUGUGGAGCUGAGGUCCUUCCCCGCCGGCAGCGGCCUAGGCUGGCUCGGCUCUGCUUUUGGAGGCGACCUCCCAUGAACAACUCUGGAGCCCCUCACGUCCACGAAGCGUUCGGGCCGCGGUUCCCAGACCCUUGGCUUUGGUCCCGGCCGGGCGGCCCCGGGGCAGGCUGGGAGCGAGCCCGCCGCGCGGUGCACCCCGGGAGACGCCGAGGCUGUGAGUGCCGCGCGUGGCGACGAGGGCGAGCGUCCGUGCUGCUUGCCCUGGACCCAGUACAGGCGGGGGAAUUCUGCGUGAACCCCCACAUCUCUGAUCCAAGCUCGGGGAGAAAGCGGGAGGAGGGGAGCCGCGAGUCCAAGCGCCCGAAUGCCUACCCCAGGCAAGCCUCUGAGUCAGGAUGGUCGCCCUCGUGGGUUUGACCUCUGCCCUCUUCGUGCCCUUUUCCGUGGGCGACCCUAGGGCGGAAACUUGGGUUUCAAAUGCGAAACAUUUGUCUCCUGGAAUCACAUCUGGCUUCCAAUGUAUGUUAAGACUUUUCUUAACCGAAAAAGUCAGCGCCUGAAGGACACCCAAGGCUCAAGGCCUUCUGCCCCUCAGCUGUAUCUGCCGCAAAUAGGUAGGUGAUUCUUAUUCAACCCUUCCCCCAGAGUGCACAUCCUAGUACCUCACAGGCAGCUGUUACUGAAGAGGGAAAACCUAAAACCCAAACCUACGACAAACCAGGCCGUGGAGCGAGGCCUGACUAGGUCAGAACAACGUAUGUCUGAGUUGAUCUGACUCAAAAUGCCUGAGUUGGGAAUGCAGGCUUUGGCUUGGACUGGUCUCCUUCCAGGCAUAGUGUCUACGCAGGCCUCUCAUAGCCCUGGAGAUCUAGGCCCUAGGGGCAUACAACCUGACCUGAGCUUGGGAGGGGGCAGAGUUCUGGCCUUUGGAGUUCAGUCUACUUGGUCUUGGUUUCUGUGCCAACCAUAAUGUUUGGCCCUUGGUACUUUUAACACUCUUGUGCAAUGUUUGGACAGAUAACUUGUAACUGAUCAGGCACUUGUAUACAGCUCUAAUAAAAGUAUGUGUGUAUGAGAGAGAGAGGGAGGGAGGGGGAGAUUUUUCUGGGCAGAUGAGAAUAUUUGCAGUUUCAAGCGAAGGAUGGGGCCCUUAGAUCCUUUAAAAUUUCUAGGUUAAUGCAAGAACGUAUUUCCUAAAAUAUCAUAUUUUUAAAAGCAUGUAUGAAAAAAUGCAUUCUUAAUUUUGGCUACCCUGAUAGAAGUUUAAUACUAACCAUAAGAGGAAGCCAAAGGGAAAAUAUUUAUUUGCCAACCUUGGUCUGGAAAAAUAUCAGUAGCAUUUCUUAUUUGAGAAGGAAAUGCAUUUAUUCAGUCUUUCUUUUUCAGUUGGCAAGGGCAUCGUUUUUAAUAUAUAUCCCAUGUUUAUUGUUUCUGUUUGGUACUUUGGUCAUUUGCAGCACAUCUGUUUCUGAUAUUGUUCCUGUGUUAAGCACACACUAUUGUGUUAGCAAGAUUUUACACCAUCUGUUUAAAUUAUACUUCUUCAUUUUAUAAUGUUCUCUCAGUCCUGGGCAUAUAUAAAAUAUACUUUAAUGAGAUUAUGCUUUUAUACUUGCUGACAGACAUCAGAAACACAUUUGCCCAGGUCAACAGUUUAGCUAAAUGUUGCAUAGAAGGAACAAUAUUAAAAUAGUAAAGAUGCUGGAAAAGAAAAAUAUUUAGAAACAAAACUAUUAAAUUAAAAUAAAAUACUGCUUCGCACACAAAAGAAUUUGGAUGUGGCUACUGGAAGUUAAUGUAUGUUUCCGAACAUUUAUGUAUCUCUUCAUUAUAUAUAUUAAACUUGGCAAUUUGUAUUUCUGAUAUUAUUGGUAAAAGUAUAGCAACUGGUUUAAAAUAUAAAGUAGAAUAACAUAAUGUAACUAUCAAAUAUAUAUUAAAUGUAAUAAUACAGAUAAAGUUAAUUAUUGAGCCUAACCAAAAUUACACAUACAAUAUACAUAUUAUAUUUAUAUAUAUAAAAUCUCAUGGUCAUUCAUAAAGAUUUUUCACCAUGUUAUCAAAAAGUAACAGGAAAUGUUGCCUGCUUCUGUGCUUUUUAAAAGUAGAGCUAUUUGUGACAAUUCAAAAAAUAUUAAAUAUCUAUAUUUGAUGGCUAAGCAUAUGUAUGUAAUUGUGGUAUAACUAAGACAGAAAUUGGCUUGAAAAAGUGAAUACUGGCUGAAUGUUUUCAAGUAUUUUUUCUAGAACAUAACACACCUAUUGAUGCCUUGACCUAUUUUGUUUACAUCCAAUGUGCAUACCCCAGUGUAAAACCUUAAAAAUGGUAAUUUCAUAUACUUUAGUUAUAAACACAGAAAUAUAAACCUUGACACUUGGGUUAAUAAAUUUCUGAUAUUCAUUCCUGGAAAUUAGCAUUCUUCAAUUGACAAAGACAUCUCCUUUGAUUGAGUUCUGCCAAAAACAGAUUGUCACAGUCUUUCAGUUGUUACCUUGGCAGACUGCUUUUAUGACAGACGCUAUGAUUAAAGAUGUGUCCAUUAGAUAACUUCUUAGGGGUUUAUAGUUUAUAUUUGUUUCUUUAGGAACAUAAAUCUUUGUUUUGGUGUAUUUAAAUUCUAAGUAAAAUGUAUCCAUGGUGGUGUGGGUAAUAGACAUUGUUUAAGCAAGAGAGCUGGCAUUCAGUACCUGGUUACUGAAUGAUAAAUCCGGUUAUAUAGCUGGAACCAGUUUCAGAAUAUUCCUGCCUAUAUAUACUUCUAAAAAAGUAUCUAUCAAAAUCUACAGUUUUCUUAAACUAUUAAUAUGGAUGUGUCAAAUGUAACCUAUAAAUUUUUUAAUGACUGAUGUUACAAAAAAAAGCAAACCUUAUGAAUCUUCACAUGUCUAGUUCCAAUUAAUCUGUUUAGACCAUUUAUUGGAUAAAGUAACAAAUCUGAUUUUGUCAAUCUGGAGUUCCGUGCCAAUAUUCUGUGUGCCUCUUUGAUGUCUAAUGCCUUUUCCUACACUUAUUUAGUCCAUAGUUACCCUCGUGUAAAACCUGGGAUUAGAAGAAUAAUUAACUAGAAACAUUUUCUUAAAAAAGUAUUUUUCAGCCACAUCCGUAUAAAAGUGGUGGUCUCAAAUUGAUGUCAAUGAUUAUUGAAAGAAAACUAUAUAUAUCUUUGUGAGUGCAUUUCAUCAUCUACAAUGUGCCAGGUGCUGAGGGUACACAGAGAGUAAGCAUGGGUGGUCCUUGCUCUCAGAAAAUUCCCAAUCCAUUAAGGAGACUGACAAAAAUAUAACUAGCUCAUCCCUGCAGUUUUAUAAUGAUUUUGGACUAUUCCUUGGGCUUUGCUGUGAGCCACAGGGGAAGUCCACAUUCCUUGGGCUUUAAAUUGGUAAAGUGUCAGAUGAUCUUGUCAUAAUAUUUUCAAUAGAUUUUUUGAAUUUUAAAAAAUUGUAUAGAAUUUGUAUGG